Molecule: ribosomal RNA, 253 nt
Filed under: uncultured bacterium
Lineage: Bacteria
Description: partial 16S ribosomal RNA
Rfam family: Bacterial small subunit ribosomal RNA
Source: RNAcentral
UACGGGGGGUGCAAGCGUUACUCGGAAUCACUGGGCGUAAAGCGCGCGUAGGCGGCCUGUUAAGUCAGAUGUGAAAGCCCCGGGCUCAACCUGGGAAUUGCAUUUGAUACUGGCGAGCUAGAGUCUGAUAGAGGGGGGUGGAAUUCCAGGUGUAGCGGUGAAAUGCGUAGAUAUCUGGAGGAACAUCAGUGGCGAAGGCGACCCCCUGGAUCAAGACUGACGCUGAGGUGCGAAAGCGUGGGGAGCAAACAGG